CCUCCUCCGGUCCGACACUGGACCCGGCUUUCCCGAGCGGGAGGGGAUGGUCCCCAUCUAUCCGCUCCCAGCCUGGACGAGCACAUCCCUCGACCCGGGGAUGCAGACAGCGGCGAGCCACCGGCCGGGAGAGCCCGCGUCCCCGGGGCGCUGGGCAGAGCGGGGCAGCCUGCCACCCCCCUGCGCCCGCCCACCUUCCAGGCUCCGAGUGCCUCCCUGGGGUGCGUCCCGUCCGGCCGACCCCUUCCCUGGAGCACCCCCGCUAGCCUGGGGUCCCGCUGCCACCGUCCCAGGCUCUGGACUCACUUCUGGCUCUGCGCACCUUGGAGAACGCAGGCCUGAUCGUCCAGUGGGUCCUAGACCCAAUACCAGCACUUGGGGCACUUCCCCAAGUCAGGGGCUUAUUAGGAAGCCUCCCUUAGUCCACAGACCUAAGGGGCCUCCUCGGCAUAAUGUAGACCCACCCCUCAAUAAGUCUCCCACACCGGUCACAAAGGAGAACUUUAUUGAUGACAGGGGUAGGGCGGAAACAGGGUAAAAGGUAGAGCAUUGUCAUGGAAAUAUCAGAGGAAUCCCAUAGAGCAAACCAGGGUGGCUGAGGUAGCCUUUUGAUCUCGCAUCUGAGUUACUGUAAGCUACAUAUCUAGUCUGAUCUCGAGUAGCUUACUCACUUGCAUCGUCCAGAGGUGGUUGGCGUUUCCUCUGGAGGCAGGGCACUCUUGGAGCAUGCGGUGAUGAGGAGAGAGCCAGGUUCAGAUUCACCUGGAUGACCGCAUGGCUAAUGGCUGUUUUCUUCCUGGACCGGGCCUUUUUAUCACCUCUCUGACCUCAGCAGCCCGGUCCAAUCGAAGCUGCCAGUGCUGGCCACGAGCCAACCAAUCUAAAAAGCCUCACUGGCUACCUGGGCCGAUGAGCGGGGCUUUCCCCCCCUCCCCAGGUGACCAGAGCAUCUGCUUCCCAGGCCCCAGGCUUUUGUCAUGUAGACAGGGAGGGAGAUCCCUGCCCUGAGGGAUUCAACACCAGUCUCUCACGCUGGCAGAGACAGAGCUCUGGAGAGGGACACCGACGGUGGCAUGUCUGCCGGCAGUCACAGCCACACCUGCCCCUGAGCCUGGGGCCUUUUCCCAGCUGCAGAAAUGUUCAGUGCUUUGAUUAGAUACAUGUUGCUUUUUCUCACAACCACCCUUGGUAGCUCAGAAAAUGUUUAGCACUUUAAUUAGCAGCAGGUUUCUUUUUAUCAAUUCCCCCCCCCCCCCACCCCCUUCCCGUGAGGAAAGGAUUUUUUAUAUCCAGUGGGCUGAUGAAGUGACCUUGGUGCAUUUCCUGUUCCAGCAUGGUUUCCAUUCAUUGUGGUUUGGGCCAGAGGAAGUUUGCGUCAGGUGAUGAUGCUGGCAAGGUUUGGUGUUCACUUAAAGGCUAGGAUGGGUGGUUCUGGGAAGAUCACUUUAAGAACUGGGUCUCCUUUUAAUGUGGAUUGCACUUGUUUGAGGAUUUCUGCACAGAUUCCAGGAUGGGAUGGGAUGUCAUGACUCAUGGUGUGUGAUUCAUGGGGCGUCUCUUUCUGCGCUGCUGCAAAUCUUCCCGUGGUAUUCAGGUGGCUCUUUCAAAAGUGCAGUCUGUCUCCUGGAGGAGUGUCCUUGUUGGGUGAGCAUCAGGAGAGCACAGGCAGGGACACUGUCUGCGAUCUGCUGAGCUUGCCCCCGUGUCUGCAGUGCUAAGAGUUUCACAAAGCUUCACAAACUUAGCCACUGGCACCAAGGGCAGGGUCGGCAGAAGGCAGACUGCACCCCGCCUCUGUCUCCUUGGCUAGGGACAGACACUACACACAAAUUGGUUUCAGUGAUCAGAAAUGGGUUUAAACCUGUAACAGAACAGAACUUCAGGACAUAUACAGCAGUAUCUAAAUGGCUGAAACUGGUAAACCUGGUUGAAUGUAGUAUCACUGAUUUGGGUCAAACCAGUUUACGCAAUGUCUGUCCCAGACCCCUUCCUAGUUUAAGUUAAGCCAGAGUCCCCCAGCAUCCCAGGUGCUUUGCAGCCGUGGGCUGUGCUGUCUGCUCCAGAGAUCAGUGCUGGUCCCAGCCCUCUGCUCCCUGGCCAGAGCUCCUUCAGAGAUUGCAGGCACCGCAGGGUCUGCUUGGCUUCCCGCUGCCCCCUCCCACCCCUUGUCUCACUGCUUACUGCUCAAGCAGGGAGCCCCCAUUCCCUCCCAUCUCCCACAGCACAGCCCCCAGCCCCAUGGAUCCUAGGCGUGUAGCAUGCCAGCUAAUAGGGCUGGGCAAAGCUUCAGACCGUGAUUCGGAUUUGGAGAUGAUUCAGAUGAUUCAGAGACCAAAUCUAUAAAUCUGAAUCGAAUCGCUGGAAGCUUUAGGCUUUCUGAAUUGAUUCAGGGCUUCCGAACCACUUUGGAAAUAUCCACCACUUUGUGGUGUCACCAGGGUCCACCAUCUCUGCAGCUUUCACCCGCCCUGCGGUGUCACACAUACAUGUGACACGAGUUUUGCUUUCAAGAAUUUGGGGUGCACUUCCCCCUGAACCCCUCCACCAAUCUUCUUGAAACUUGGUAGACUUCAUGCUCUCAAAAGAGUCUACCACCCCUGCAAGUUUCAUCCCCCUCCCCCCCCCCCAAAAAACAAAACAAAACAAUCAAGCCAACAAAGUUAUAGAUAUUUCAUUGAUUCCCCAUUAUACCCUAUGGCUGGAUUUCCGAGGCCUCUCCAAAGCUUCAGAGCCACUUCAGCUGGAUCAAAGCAGAAACCCAGUUCAGAGCUCCGGACCGGAUCCUUGGCAUCUGAAGCUGCCAGAUCUGAAGCUGGAUCAAAUAGCUGCCGACUCGCGCAGGCCUACUAGCUAAUGCUGAGAAGUGUCUGUAUGUGCAUUUCUCCAGUUUCACUGGGACAGGCAGACAGAACAGUGUCCACAUAGGGAUUUUUGGAGCUAGUCAGCUGGUAAUGCUGGUACUGUCCCUCUGUUCCUUCCUUGGAAAAAGCUGUUUAAGAAGAGCUUGAACUAAUGAGAGACUUUUGUUUUGCUGAUGGGCUGAUAAACCCUGUGUUACUGGCUCCCUGCUGGCUCCCUCACCUGUCAGGUUUGCUGCAGACAGUAUGAAGCAGGAAGAGGGAUGUUGAAAAGCUCAGUACAGUAAAAGUCCUGUUAACCGGCAUCUUACAAGCCAGCUUGCUCAAUUAACUGGCAUGCCAGCUUGUAAGAUAAAGUGAAACCAGAAGUGCCCACCGUGGCAAUUUUAGUUUCUCUGAGCCCCCACGGCCCAGGGCAAAGCAGCCUGCGCUGCUGGGACUCCACGGCCUGGGGGCAUAACAUGCUGUGCAGGGCCCACCUCCCUGUCGCACAGGGCCUGCAGGGCCUGUGGGAGGGGCAGUGAUGCUGCGGGAGGGGUGGCAGGAUGCCCCAGACAUGGCGGGAGAAGCGGUGGUCCAGGCCGUUCAAUUAACUGGCAUAUUUUGUUAUCCAGCAUCCCCCAUUCCCAGGGGAUGCCGGACAGCAGAGCUUUUACUGUAUUAUCAACAGAUGCAUGCAUUUCACAUCCCCUUUUUUUCCUCAGAGUGCUAGUAAAGGGCUGGGGGUCUGGCAUCACUCCCACCCCUUGAGCAGCAAGUGGGGAAAAGCCAGGGACAGUACCGGCAGGGUGGGGGUUUACACCCCUCCCUAAUCAGAGCAUCCUGCCAGGGCCUGGCCAUGCCCCUGCUUAGCUUAGCACUGUGGAAGGGAAGGGAGGGCUGCUCUAGUGUCUCCUGGCUUCUAGCCUGAGCCUCUGCAGGCACGUGCCUGCAUUUCCUCAGUCCAGAGGGACUGUCUGCACACUUGCAAAUCCGUUCAGCCUAGCCGGGUUAGAGUAGCCUGCAAAGAUUGAAUCAAUUCAGGCUCAGGCUUUUUGAAUGUCUCUCCCUAGGCCUUUUGCACACUCUUUCAAACUAGUUUCUGCUAUUCAGUUUAUUUUCCUUUGUUAAACAUGCUCAGUUCUUGCUCUCUCUCAAACCAGUUCAUAUUAGUCAUUUUAUUUUGCUCUUGUUAAAUCAUUUCAUACACAGUUUAUUUUGAUCUCUCCGCUUUACAUUCUUAAUUUAAACAUUUCAUAUUGUUCACUUUUUUUGCAUGAUUUUCUGUUCUCUGAUUGGUUUCUUGGAAAUACUUACCCAGAUUUAUAUGCUCUUCAUAUAAUGUAAUUCUUUCUGAGUUCCUGCUGUUUGCCUGUUUACAUUGUUUUCCUUGCCCUUAGUCUGCAUGAACUUCAGGAAAUGCUGCAAUUGGAAGGCAUCCAAAGGCAGCGUAUGAAGUUUUAUUUAUUGUCACCAGAUUUAGAAUUUUUAGAAAAUCUGGUAUUUACUGUAAAAAAAAAGAAAAAAGAGAAAAGGGCAACACGGGUGGUUAUUAACUAUAUUAAUAUGCAGUUCUUCCUGCCAAGGCAUGUACCGCUGCCCCAGUUCUGUUUUUCAGGCAUGCCAGCACUCCAGCACCUUACAAUGUAGACAGUGCUGUUUUUCCAGCACUCAGCCCAAAAUUUUGCCUACGCUAUAGUCUUUUAGGCCUAGACUCAAGAAACAUCUUGAUGUUGAGAGCCUGGCCAGUGUUGCUAGAGGUGACCCCAUACCCAGAGCUCAAGGUACAUUCAUGGGGCAGUGAAUGGCCCUGCAUUGCUGAGGACAGAGGGGAUGGAGGUGCUGGGGCUCCUGGAGAUGGAUGGAGGCAGCAUGCGGCAGCCAGGCGAGGAAGGGAGGGCAGCGUGUGGAUGGUGGUGAACCAGGGCAGGCUGUACUGGGCCUUGCAUCAUCUGACCAGAUGAAACACCCAGUGACGCCUGCCCUGCUUGGCCCGGUCCUGUCUGGGGCCAGGGCCGUGUCAGUCAAGGUGCUCGUUACUGCGGUCGGGCUGGGUGACUCCAGGUGGUGGUGAUACCAUAUGCACUGGGUUCCCCGAGCCACAGGCGUGUUGAUAUCCUUAAAACUCAAGUAGGUUGGUGGACUUUCCUUUAGAAAUGCCAGGCUGACCCCCUGCUAGUGGUGUUCGUCCACAUGCUGAGCCACCUUUUUGUUCUACUUUAAAAAAAUGGAUUCCUGGCCUGCCAGGCACAGAAGUUGGACUCACCGGUCUGCAGCUCCCUGGGUUACCUUUGGAGCCCCUCUUCAAGACUUCAGAUACGUUUGCCACGCUCCACCUCUCUGGCACGAGGGUUGCUCUUAGCUAUAGGUUGCAGAGCAGUAGUUCUGUAGGACCUAACGUCUGGACUUGCAGGACCCUGGGGUGAAUGCCCUCAGGUCCGGGUGAUGGCAAUUACUGGUCCUCUGAAAUCCUCUCCUGUUUUGUCAGUUCUACUGAUUCCUGUCCUGAGAGGAAUGGGUCCGUGAAGGAACCUUCUCCAGCAAUGUCCAUAGUAAAGAUAAAUGCGAAGAGCAACUUGAGUUUCUCAGCAAUUACCUUGCCCUCCAUGAAUUCUGCCGUCACACCCUGCUGAGCCCCGGCAGGCUUCCUGCUGCUGGUCCUUACAGAAAUGUUCUGUGUCUCCAGCCAGUUUUCUCCUCUAAAGUCUAUUUUAGCUUGGGAUUCAUAGAUUCAUAGAUGUUAGGGCCGGAAGGGACCUCAAUAGAUCAUCGAGUCCGACCCCCAAUGCCAAAGUGUAUGCCAGGAAAGCACGCUCUGGAGUAUCAGGGUAAAAACAGGCAGCCGGGUUGAUGUGGGACUGGCUCGGCAGGGAUAUGUGUCAGGGCCACAUGCCAGGUUAAAAUGACAAUUACACUGAAUUAUAAUAUUAUAACUAUUUACUAUCUGGCUGUUUGCAUGGAGGAAAACAAGCGGUGCAAGCCAGGGCUGGUGGUGUUAAUUGGUGUCCAGGAAUUAACGUGCCCAAACUCAAACGCGUACGGCCAAGUGAGGUCAGUUGAGGUAAGUGCCAGUCGACUGCUUUGAGUAGCAGCGGAGCCACCAGCUCCAGCCUGGCCAGGCCCUUUGCCUGCGCUACACCCUCCCUUGUGUGCUCACAUGUUCCAGGUCCCAGAUUGUCAACACAUUUUCUAACACGCGUGUCUCCCCCACUAGAUCGAACUCGGGGAUACAUGUGUGGUGCAUUUCCCUCCCAUUCAGCACUGAGCAGCAUUCAACAAGGGGCAUCUCGGCGCUGGGAGGUGGUGGUGCGCAGAGGCGCAGAACUUCAAGUGAUGGUUUAAGCAGGUGGCAUUUGUUUCAACAGGCUUGAAGACAGCAGAGCAUGAAACCCCCGAGAACCUGCCGACCAGCCGAGAUUCUCUGUCUGGGCGUGUGCUGUGCGGCCGGCUGUCUACUCAACCUGGCCGGGUUCACGCGUGGAAACGAACCCAGGAACAUUACAGCAUCCGUGCACAGCAAUGUAUCCAUGUCCUGUGCUGCUGCAUGGAAAGAUGUGCAGCUCUCUGAAGUUACUGUUAACUGCCAGACUGACUCGCACGAAGUUGUGCACAGCUUUCGUGAUGAUGAAGACGACCUGACGAACCAAGCAGAGAGGUUUCGCGGGCGAACUGAAGUCAUUCACAAGGACAUUCGCAAUGGCAAAGCAUCUUUGCUGCUGAAAAAUAUAGUCCCAAAUGAUAUGGGAACCUAUCAUAUUUACUUUUUUCACCGCGGGGGUUAUGAGCACUGCAUCUUCCACCUUCAAGUGCCAGGGAAGGGCGCUGCAGUCCCAGUGCUGGGAGCUGUGCACUGUCUCGCUGCCGUCCUGCUGCUAUACAUGGUGUUGUGAGCACGUGAAGAUAAUCUAUCUUCCUGCAGAGCCCAGAUGCAAAUGCUGACUUGUGAGCCCGAGCACUGAGGAACCCAAAGUGAGUCUCGCUUCAUCUUUCCCAGCACCUCUACGGUACGUGACCUGCCUGCUGCUGCGACUGCCGGGGCCCAGUGGAGCGGACGGUGGGACGUCUGCCGAGAGCUGCUGCUUAAGGAAGUCUCCCCAGGACCUGGCAAGGCAGAAGUCCCACCGGAGAGGAGGCCUUAAAGUGAUUCCUGGUGGAGGGAUGGGUUGUGGGGUAGAAAUGCUAGUAGGGUGUGUGUGUGUGUGUUUGUUUUAUGUGUGUGUGUCACAGGGCACUAAGGUGCGUGCUUCUUUAAGGGCAUGAACUGCCUAGGAGAGAGCCCAGCAGUCAGUCAAGAGCCUCUCGGCUGCAAGUUAUAGCCCAGGGGCUCGUAUUUUGAUUUCUGUUUGUAAACCGGAGGAUUGGGCUGGGGCUCAUUGGGGGCCCACUACAGUGUGGGGACCCCAGCGCCAGUGUAGGCGCAGUGACAAAGCGGGUGAGCGGACCCCAGCACCAGGGGGCACAGAGACAGAGAGACAGAGACAGGGCUGCGGAUAGCCCAGUGAUGACCAGAGGCCAGGUUAAACUAAGGCCUUGGAGAGACACUGUGUGAAUGCCAUCUGCGAGGCUUGGGGCGUGGUAAAGGGACAGUUUGGAGCCACACAUCUAGCCCAUAAGGCUGAGGGUGUCCCGAGAGGCAUCCAUUUUGGAGCAGGACCCAAAAGGGUUCAGCGGGGUCCAUCAGGACUGUGCCCAAAAUACAAACUUGAGGGCAGCCUCCCUAUUUAUUACAGUUACAACAAGACAUGGCAGGAAAGAAAGAGGGUGCCCGUUGGGCAGAAUUGGCAUGGACAAGGAGCUCUAGGGGUAUCAUGGCCAUCCCUGGAGACCCCAUCCCAUGACACUGUGUAAUACAUUUUCCCCCAGUUUGCAGAAAAAUGGAAUCAAAGGAAAGUAGGGCUGAAAGGGACUUAACAAGUUUCCUAGUUCAGCUUCAUGCUUAAGGCAGGGGCAUCCCCAAAUAAACCAUCCCCAGCAAGAAUCUGUCUAACCUGCUCUUGAAUACUUGCAAGGAUGGAAAUUCCACUGUCUCGAGGUGCCUGUUACAAUGCUUGACCACUGUCAUCGUCAGAAAGUUCCUCCCAAUAUCCAACCUAAUUACCUCUGCUGCAGGUUGAGGCCGUUGCUCCUUGUUUCAUCCCUGCCACAGAGAAAAGGCCAUCUCCAUCCUCUCUAUAGUCACCCUUCAGGUAGUUGAAGACCAUUAUCAAGUCUCCCCACUCAGUCUUCUCUUCUCCAGACUAAAUAACCCUAGCUUUUUCAGCCUCUACUGACAACCCUCAACUUCCUACUUCAAAGGAUCAUACACAGGAGAUUCAGGGACAGCUCCUCUGCUGUUAGGUCACCUGACAGUACCUUGAAUGCAAGGCCUCAGGAGUUCCUCCUGCCACUCCUCAACUGAUCCUUUAAGGAUGAUGGAAUAUUUACACCAGCAUAAUAGUAGUGGACAAAUGAUGCAAACUCGUAAACUGUGGUAACUUCACCCAAUGUGGAGAACUGCCCUAGAAAGAUGUCACUAGAGUUUCACCCCUGAUUAAGUCUAGGUUCCAUCUGUCCACCUUCAACAUGGGGCGACAGUCUGCUAAAGGCAAAGAGGCAUCCUCUCACUGUCUAGUAACUGUUCACAGCCAUGGGACAGCUGCACAUCUGCCCUGUCCUAUUCCUGGUGCAGUUUAUACUAGUGUACCAAACUGGUGCCAUUUAGGCUGAGGCAUGUGUUCAUCUCUCCCUGGCCUAUGCCUGUAAUGUGGGCCUUAAAGGGUUAUCACUGGUGCAUACCAAUGCAAGUGGCAAGGCACCUCUUCCUGCUCCCAGAUGAGUUGAAGAGACAUCCACUAUUCCCUGUCCAAUGUACCAACCCAGGAAGUCAUGUCAGUAGCGUUAAGUAUAGACAGACAAGAUUCUUUGGGUAAGUCCAAUAUUUUUUAUUAGACCAAUUAAAAUAGUUGGAAAAAUCCUUCUUUACAAGCUUUCAGGUAAAACACCCUUCAUCAGACUGAUGAAGCAUCUGCAGUUAGUCUAUCCUUUUCCUGGAUGAAAUAGUAAAGAAAGCCAGUCAGUGAAAAUGUAAACUGAGUCAGUCAAUGGGGGAGAGACAGGUGGGGUUGGGGAAAGGGAAUGUAGACCUGGUGAUAAGAUAUAGCUGGUAAAUAGUAGAGAGGUUACCUGGGGUAUCAGAUAUUGGGCAGGUUGUAAUGUGCCAUAAAGCCAAUGUCUAUAUUUAGUCCAUGAUUUUUUGUAUCCAGUAGCUUGAUGAAGUGAAGUUCGUAGGCUUGUCUGUGAAAGGUGUCUUGUAAAUUCCCUUUGAGGAUUAGAACUGAGAGAUCGGAAGGAGAGUGAUUGUCUUGUAAGAAAUGCAUCCCCACAGGUGGUUGGGUAUUCUUGUCUUUGAUUGAUUCCCUAUGUACGUCAUUCUGGUACACCGGUGGUGUUUGGGCUCUCCUACAUAUUUCCCAUCAGGGCAUUUGGUGCUCUGUGUGCCCAGUGUGGGAGAGCUGGGCAUGUAGAGUCCCCCUACCUGGGGUGGAUCAUCCUCCUGCUUGCCUGCCACAUCUUUUUGGUGUAAAGAAGUUAGGAGGUUUCAUUGGGGAAAAUGGGAUGUUACUCCACCCUCGGGUUGGCUCGAUGAGAAAACGAGUGACUUAGAGCUCCACCUCCCCUACACCCUGUCCAAUGGACAACCAAAAUAAAGUCGCGGCAGCAACUGGGACUCAGUGCUACACGCUUGCCUCAGUCUGCUGCACCCUCCUGGGCUUGGCUUAAUCCUCUCCUUGUUCAGUUUCAAAGUCCAGGGUAACAGGCGUAUGGUCUCCCGCUUCAGCCAUCCCCUCUAAAAGGCAGAAAACUCUGUGGCCACCACCUCUCCCUGCUGGGCCACUGAGGUCAUGACAGGGUGCACUCCCCUGGCUGACCCUUCUUCUGUGGUAAUGAAACAUCAACACUCAAGGAGAACUUAAACUUUCAAAAGACCCCAGCAUCUGGCAUGUUGCCGCCUAGGGAACGGGACUCGCAUGUCCAAAGCUCCGUCUGGUGGACUCAGUCGCGCGAUGGGUCCCACCAGUCGCACUCAGCAAUCACACUGCCAGUCUUUAGUGGUGAGAGGCUCCUGGCUCUCCCCUGUGCCAGCAUGGGUAUGCUCCCUCGGUGCACUCUCUGGGUUCUGCCGGGUCUGCAAGGGGGCUCCUUGCAGCCCGAGCUGCUUUUGGUCCCGCGCCACAUCCUGGGGCUUGUCAAUGGCAAGGAUGCUCUUUUAUGAUGUUAUCAGCUGUGUGCUGUCCCACACGCAGGGAGAGCAUGCACUUAAAAUGCUCUGCUGGCUUGGGUCACUGAAGGGAAAGAUAAGUAACCUUUCAGCCCGCUCUGGGCUCUGUUCCCCCACCAGUCGGGGUGUGUUGGGGGGGAUUCCCCCUGCUCCCGGGGUACCUGGGAGUCUCAUCACUCAGCACAGCGACACAUCCCCCACUUCAGGUUUUGGAGACCUGUUGCUCUCCGGUGGCCUCAGUCAUUACCUGAAUCCACGUUCUGCCGUACUCUGUGGAUCCCACUGUUAGCCACGGCAUUGUCUUGACCUGGUCUAUGUAUCACCACAAACUUGGGUAGCUGAAGGGAAGGUGAGGAACCCUUCAGCCCACUCCGGGGUUUGCUCCGCCAUCAGUCAGGGUGUGUCGGGGUGGGGGGAGUUCCCCCUGCUCCCGGGGUACCUGGGAGUCUCAUUGCCCAGGAUGUUGCCCCACUGGAUGAGAUAGUUUACAUUUCUGGAGGUGCAGGUGUAAGAUCGGGGAACGGUGAUGGUUCUGCUGUGAGGUGGAGUUAUUGUGGGACUGGUGGAGAUGUGUUGGCAGGUUUUGCAUUUCUUGUCCCAGCACGGUCCCGAUCCAUAUAGCGUCCCAUGCAGACUUGCUAACACUGCUGUGACCUCCGCAAGGAAGCGGGAGAAAGGGAGUGGCUGCUGGGGAGCCCUGCGCUGAAUUCUUGUCCCAUUCUUCUUUUGUUCAUUUUCUAGCUUUUAUCGCUAUAUAAAUGAAACGAAGUGUAUGACUGUAUGUAUGUUUGCUUAUAACUCAAGAAUGGCGGGUCCUAUCUACUCUAAACCUUCCCAAAUCACUGAACACCACCCGAGGGAAAACUAUAGGUGGGAUAGUUUUCACUUGACCCUUUCUGGGGCUUCCAGGGACUGGGAUUUCUUUGCUUCAAAGAUAACAAACUGGGACCUCUCCAUUUUAGCUGCAGUGAAUUCAGUUCAAUUGUCAUUAUUAUAGAGAUGCUUGUCUUUUUUUUCCAACUCAGUUGUCAUUAUUGUAUUGAAGCUUGCCCUUUUUUUGCUCCACCUUAAAUAUUACAUGUUAAAUAUGUUGUCCUAAGUUCUUUGAAAAGAAACAAGCACUGCAAUUACAGAAACAACACCCUGGGCGAAGAAUGGGUACUUCAGCUAGUUUACUAAUAAAGUGCAUUUCCUUCA
This is an RNA transcript of Alligator mississippiensis (American alligator), 11292 nucleotides long. RefSeq lists it as uncharacterized. The record is from RefSeq and is a predicted model, not a curated record. The transcript has 4 exons. Lineage: Eukaryota; Metazoa; Chordata; Crocodylia; Alligatoridae.